GAGGGUAUAGCUCAAGUGGUAGAUCACUUGCCUAGCAUGCAAGACGUCCUGGGUUCAAUCCCCAGUUCCUCCU
Molecule: transfer RNA, 73 nt
Filed under: Camelus ferus (Wild Bactrian camel)
Lineage: Eukaryota; Metazoa; Chordata; Mammalia; Artiodactyla; Camelidae
Rfam family: tRNA
About the family: Transfer RNA (tRNA) molecules are approximately 80 nucleotides in length.
Source: Rfam by way of RNAcentral